CCUCAGAGACAACGACCUCCUUUGGGCUGUUCUGAUGGAACAGAUGCCCUUGACCUGCCACUGUUCCUAUCACCCCCCUCCUUCGCACCAGACGUGAGGGGUGCAGGGAACGUCAGCCGGCAUUGCUUACUCUCACAGGCCAGUCCUGGGAGGCAGCCAAGAGCCACACAGGGGCUGUAUCUCAUGUAAUCCUCCAAGCAUCUCAUGAGGUAGGCCCCAUGGUUAUCCCCAUUUACAGACCAGCAGGCCAAUGGCCACAGGCUCGUGGCCAAGGUCACAGGCUGGUAGGUGAAGGGCACACUGGAAAGCAGGCUGUGAGGCACUGAGACGCUGUUCUCUCCACGCCCAGCACAGCCCACGCUGCUCUGUUCUCCUUCGGCCGACAAGAGCUGGCUGCCACAGGCCCCUCACUGAGCUGGGUGCAAGCCCUGGCGGCCCCUCAGGCCCUGUGCUGUUUCUGGAGCUGCAGUGAGUGUGAUGGAAACCCCAUCCCUGCUCUGCUCCUGUGCGAAGGGCACCCCUCACCCCCCACCUCUCAGCUCAGCACCCUCAGAGAAGUGCUGCAAAGGCCGGCACUUCGCAAGCAGGAAGGGCUGCUGCCAACCGUCGUUUCCCAUUUUCCUGCCCCCUUUGG
Molecule: long non-coding RNA, 634 nt
Organism: Pipistrellus kuhlii (Kuhl's pipistrelle)
Lineage: Eukaryota; Metazoa; Chordata; Mammalia; Chiroptera; Vespertilionidae
Exons: 2
Source: RefSeq, a predicted model, not a curated record